RNAcentral lists this ribosomal RNA (495 nucleotides) under uncultured bacterium. RNAcentral's name for it is "partial 16S ribosomal RNA". It matches the Rfam family "Bacterial small subunit ribosomal RNA", at positions 28 to 507 of the family's 1533-position model. The record is from RNAcentral.
GACGAACGCUGGCGGCGUGCCUAAUACAUGCAAGUAGAACGCUGAAGGAGGAGCUUGCUUCUCUGGAUGAGUUGCGAACGGGUGAGUAACGCGUAGGUAACCUGCCUGGUAGCGGGGGAUAACUAUUGGAAACGAUAGCUAAUACCGCAUAAUAGCAGUUGUUGCAUGACAACUGUUUGAAAGGUGCAAUUGCACCACUACCAGAUGGACCUGCGUUGUAUUAGCUAGUUGGUGGGGUAACGGCUCACCAAGGCGACGAUACAUAGCCGACCUGAGAGGGUGAUCGGCCACACUGGGACUGAGACACGGCCCAGACUCCUACGGGAGGCAGCAGUAGGGAAUCUUCGGCAAUGGACGGAAGUCUGACCGAGCAACGCCGCGUGAGUGAAGAAGGGUUUCGGAUCGUAAAGCUCUGUUGUAAGAGAAGAACGAGUGUGAGAGUGGAAAGUUCACACUGUGACGGUAUCUGACCAGAAAGGGACGGCUAACUACGUG